This 216-nucleotide unclassified non-coding RNA is filed under the name Hevea brasiliensis (rubber tree). Lineage: Eukaryota; Viridiplantae; Streptophyta; Magnoliopsida; Malpighiales; Euphorbiaceae. The record is from RNAcentral.
GCUUUGUUUGAUAAAGCAUCAUGGUAUACUUUAUAUCGCCAACAAAGGUGCUGAGACUACUGUGUUCCUCAUGGAAGCCUGUGAUGUUUCGCAUUUAAGUGACAAAUGUACAUUAUUUUUGUUGAGAGAUAAAUUUGCAGCACUUAGUGUUCGUAGGGAGAUCAAUUUGUGCAAUUCGACAACUUCUUUGACUUUUUUCAUUUCAUAUUAUGAUUU